Molecule: long non-coding RNA, 1844 nt
Filed under: Equus caballus (horse)
Lineage: Eukaryota; Metazoa; Chordata; Mammalia; Perissodactyla; Equidae
Description: lncRNA (ENSECAG00000055863.1)
Source: RNAcentral
AGCACAUGAUUUACACUGUGACAUGGAGAUCACAGGACCUCACACCUCCGGCGGUGGAGAGGAUCCGAGGACCCAUUCUCAAGGGCUUAGCGUUGUGCCUGGACCAGAGGAAGCAGUCAAUCCAUUCUUUUUAUGUUUCUCCAUACCGAUGGCUUCGACAAGCAUUGAUUGAGCACCAGCUAUGUGAAGGCAUAUGCGUCUCUGUUGGAAGGAGAAUUGCUACGUGUCCUACAUUCUCCUACUGCCAUCAUCCACCAAGGCGUGGCCGGGUGCAUGCUGACCCUCUGCAUUCAGCAGGCUGGGAAGCAGUAGAGCAUCUUCAGACUGGCGAUUACUGUAAUUAUGCUGAGAAACAGAGGGCUGGCUGAGAUUAGAACUGGGGAUUACAAGGAAAUCGUUGAAGACAACUCACGCUUCUAUCGACUCUAGGAACACUGGGAACGACGUUCUACACAAUAUUGCCCAUGUCCUCUAAGAUCCAUGUGACUGUUUCUCCAGAUUUCAGCAACAGAGAAAGAAAAGAAGCAAUCAUCAACUCACUUGGAAAUACUUGAUAAGGCUUACUGUGUGACAAUGGAGUGAAUGCUGCUAUGUCCAAGCUGUCAACACAUUUUACUGUGACAUUGGUGAAUGUUUUAGGCAAGAAGCUGUCUCAGUGAAUUUAAUGGGAAAGAAAUCACUUGGCAAAUGUCUCCAUUGCCCGUAAUUCACUGCCCCACCCCUCUAGUCCUACGGUAGGAUAGUCUGACAUACAUUUUGUAUCUUUCCAAAAAUGAUGUCCUGCAUUUGGGGCUUAUUUGUAGCUGCAGACAGGUGGGAAUAAGAGACUCUUUUGUCUCCUUGUCUAGCCCAUUACUAUGGAAAGCUGUCCAGAAUUAAAUUCCGUUCUCUCCUGUCAGGUUGCAUUACAGAGCUCGGUGUCCAGAAAGAGAGACUAGUGUGACAGCAUGGACUGGAGGUGGUGGAAGAUAAAUCAAGCUCAGUUUAUCCCUCUUAUUCCUAAGGAAAAACACAUCCCUCAUGGAGGCAGACAACUGUCUCACGUUGCUCUGGUGUUUACAGAAAGACAGAGCAGACUGUGGUGUGGGAGGGGGUGUAGAUAUGUGGUGUCGCCUUAAGGAUUCUGAAUGUCUAGAUCAUUUCUUUUUGGGCACAAUUUGGAAAUUUAUUUGGGAAUCCUGCGGUAUAGCCCACAUGAUUUGGGUGUUUCUUGGGGAUGAUGUGAAUAUUGGAUUCUCUAUUUAGAAAUUGUGUCUUGAUUAAGCCCUUUUCACUCUUUGAAUAUUUUUGAUUUUUAUUUCAAAAUAACCCAGUCCUUCUACUUAUGAGACACACCUAGGGCACCAUGACUAAUGCUUUAUUGUGGCUUUCUUACCUCAGCCUCUUCUUUCCCCUCCACUGCAGACAACCAGUUGGAAGCGUCUGUCAUACCUGCUUCCACUCUUUUUUUUAUCAUGCUCAGAUACGUGCAUAUACAGUUCUUGUUUGCAUUGCUGUGUGUAAAAUUCUUCCGUAUUAUAUACAUUUAUCUGCACCUUGAUUUUGUCACUUAAAAUAUAUUAUGGAGAUAUUUCCAGCUAACUGGUAUAGUUAUAAACCAUCUAUGGGAUGAAGAUAUCUUAAUUUAUUAGAGUAUUGCCCUUUGGUAGCUUUCAAUUUAUUUCUAUGUCUUUUGUUCUUUUCUGUUUUGUUUUGCCCCUGAAAGACCUGAUUGUGAUAAUCUUCCUUAUUCCUGAGUGUACCAGCAUUUUAAUUUUAGGAGAUAGAUUUACAAGAAUGGGAUUACUGGAUUAAAAUGUGUAUUUUAGUUGAUAUUACUAGAUUUCUUUUCCCAAAAGCUAUAA